CCUACGGGAGGCAGCAGUAGGGAAUAUUGCUCAAUGGGGGAAACCCUGAAGCAGCAACGCCGCGUGGAGGAUGACGGUUUUCGGAUUGUAAACUCCUUUUUUUAGAGAAGUUAAUCACGGUAUCUAACGAAUAAGCACCGGCUAACUCCGUGCCAGCAGCGGCGGCAAUACGGAGGGAGCAAGCGUUACUCGGAAUCACUGGGCGUUAAGAGCGCGUAGGCGGGAUAGCAAGUCAGUUGUGAAAUCCUAUGGCUUAACCAUAGAACUGCAAUUGAAACUGUUAUUCUAGAGUAUGGGAGAGGUAGGUGGAAUUCUUGGUGUAGGGGUGAAAUGCGUAGAGAUCAAGAAGAAUACUCAUUGCGAAGGCGACCUGCUAGAACAUAACUGACGCUGAUGCGCGAAAGCGUGGGGAGCAAACAGGAUUAGAUACCCGAGUAGUC
Molecule: ribosomal RNA, 440 nt
Filed under: uncultured bacterium
Lineage: Bacteria
Description: partial 16S ribosomal RNA
Rfam family: Bacterial small subunit ribosomal RNA
Source: RNAcentral